RNAcentral lists this ribosomal RNA (253 nucleotides) under uncultured bacterium. Its description in RNAcentral is "partial 16S ribosomal RNA". It matches the Rfam family "Bacterial small subunit ribosomal RNA", at positions 524 to 776 of the family's 1533-position model. The record is from RNAcentral.
UACGUAGGGUGCGAGCGUUAAUCGGAAUUACUGGGCGUAAAGCGUGCGCAGGCGGUUCGUUGUGUCGGCGGUGAAAGCCCCGGGCUUAACCUGGGAAUGGCCGUCGAAACUUGCGAACUGGAGUGUGGCAGAGGGGGGUGGAAUUCCGCGUGUAGCAGUGAAAUGCGUAGAGAUGCGGAGGAACACCGAUGGCGAAGGCAGCCCCCUGGGCUGACACUGACGCUCAGGCACGAAAGCGUGGGGAGCAAACAGG